CCAAGGAGCCUAACCUGUGCGCAAGUCAAUCAGUGUUUACAAAACUCGACUGGCGUAACGAAAGCAAUCUGGUGCGCUUCGGUGCACUGCAACCAGGUGUUGAUCCGCUGUGACAGCAUCGCAGUUGCAAUGCGGCGCCUUGCGCGCCGUAUCAGAGCGCAUAGGGUAGUACCCGAAAGAUGGUGAUCUAUGCUUGAGCAGGACGAAGCCAAAGGAAACUUUGGUGGAAGUCUGCAGCAGUUUUGACGUGCAAAUCGAUUGUCAGACUCGAGUAUAGCGGCRAAAGACUAAUCGAACCAUCUAGUAGCUGGUUUCCUCCGAAAUUUCCCGUAGGAUAGCAAGCGCGUUACAUAUCAUUCAAACCUGUUACAGUCUCAAUAGAAGGUAACGGGGCGUUAAUUGACCUUGUCCUUUUCCUAAACUUGGUCAAUGGGUUCCACUUGCAAUUGCAUGCUUGCUGCAUGCAAUCAAAUAGCAAACUGGUUGAUGAUUUGCGCUUAGUGGGCCAUUUUUGGUAAGCAGAACUGGCGAUGUGGGAUGAACCGUACACAGAGUUAAAGUGCCUAAUGUGCAUACGCUAAGAAGAUCCCAUUAAAGAUGUUGUUCGCUUAAGACAGUAGGGCGGUGGCCAUGGAAGUCGGCAUCCGCUAAGGAGUGUGUAACAACUCACCUACCGAAGCGUUCAACUCUGAAAAUGGAUGGCGCUAAAGCGUUGAACUGAAACUCUGUCGUGUCAGUAAAUCCUGUUCAGGGCUCUGUGCUGCUUUUUGCGCAGUGCAGAGAUCAGACUGACACGAGUAGGAGGAAUGUGGCGGUGGCGUAGAAGCUUUGGACGUAAGUCCGGGUGGAGCCGCUGCUAGURCAGAUCUUGGUGGUAGUAGCAAACAAACAAGUGACAACCUUGUUGACCGACGUGGAUACGGGUUCCAUGUGAACAGUAAUUGGUCAUGGGUUAGUCGAUCCUGAGGGGCGCGGCGAAAGCCGUAUCGUAAGUAGCGUCCUUUGCUGGACGCGCCUCGAAAGGGAAUGAGGUUAAUAUUCCUCAACCUUGUCAGCGUAUUGGCUGUGGUCAAACACAGUCAUUAGCGGUAACGCGUUCGAACCCAGAGACGUGAGCCAAAGCCCUGGGAAGAGAUAUCUUCUCUUCUGUAAGCUGUUGCAGAAGCGCCUUGAAACAGUUUAGCUGGAGACAGGCGUGUACGCAGCGAAUUGCAGCGCGCUUCAUGUGCUGUGUCAGUGUGCUUUGGUUAACCCUUGAAAAUCUGGGCGAGUGUACAAAACGCUGCAAGAUCGUACCUAGAUCCGCAACCGGUAUCCUAGGUGAACAGCCUCUGGUCUAUUAGAAUAAUGUAAGUAAGGGAAGUCGGCAAAACUGAUCUGUAUCUUUGGUACAAAGAUUGGCUCUGGCGAGUUUGCCGGUUGCGUCGUGUUUAGUAAAUGCGAGCGGCYGGUCUUGGCACUGGAGUGCGGCUUUCGGGCUGCGCAUCGGGGCUUCGAUCGCUGCUUGUAUUGAACGGCGCGAGUACGGCUGGCAAAUAAAACAAAUAGUCAGAACUAUCAUUGACUUUUCGGAAUCUGACUGUUUAAUUAAAACAUAGCAUCGAGACGACUGGUGACCCAGUGUUAACUCGAUGUGAAUUCUGCCCAGUGCUCUGAAUGUCAACGUGUAGAAAUUCAAUGAAGCGCGGGUAAACGGCGGGAGUAACUAUGACUCUCUUAAGGUAGCCAAAUGCCUCGUCAUCUAAUUAGUGACGUGCAUGAAUGGAUUAACGAGAUUCCAUCUGUCCCUACUUACUAUCUAGCGAAACCACAGCCAAGGGAACGGGCUUGGCGAGAUCAGCGGGGAAAGAAGACCCUGUUGAGCUUGACUCUAGUCUGGCAUUGUGAGGAAACUGUAUUCGGUAUAGCAUAGGUGGGAGACACUUUCGGGUGUCGUUAUCAACUGUAAAACCACCACGAUACAGCACCACUCACUGACUUGAUUAUGAGGCUUACUUUGCGUGCCGAUUCGUCGGGCGCAAAGGAAACUUUCUCAUAGCGCAUCAAGUCGGGAUUUUCGGUCUUCGGACUGGAAACCAUAUUCCGUCGAGGCAUUAUUCAAGGACAGUGCCAGGCGGGGAGUUUGACUGGGGCGGUACAUCUAUCAAAUGUUAACGUAGGUGUCCUAAUGUUAGCUCAGUGAGACCAGAAAUCUCACGUAGAAUAUAAGGGUACAAGCUGGCUUGAUUCUGAAUAACAGUACGAUUGCGAGACAAGAAAUUGUGGCCUAACGAUCCUUUUGAUAAGCGAAACACUAUCAAUGCAUAAUACAAGAGGUGUCAGAAAAGUUACCACAGGGAUAACUGGCUUGUGGCGGCCAAGCGUUCAUAGCGACGCCGC
Molecule: ribosomal RNA, 2379 nt
Filed under: Archidispus bembidii
Lineage: Eukaryota; Metazoa; Arthropoda; Arachnida; Trombidiformes; Scutacaridae
Description: eukaryotic LSU rRNA
Rfam family: Eukaryotic large subunit ribosomal RNA
Source: RNAcentral